This 253-nucleotide ribosomal RNA is filed under the name uncultured bacterium. RNAcentral's name for it is "partial 16S ribosomal RNA". It matches the Rfam family "Archaeal small subunit ribosomal RNA", at positions 474 to 727 of the family's 1478-position model. The record is from RNAcentral.
UACCAGCACCCCGAGUGGUCGGGACGUUUAUUGGGCCUAAAGCAUCCGUAGCCGGUUUUACAAGUCUUCCGUUAAAUCCACCUGCUUAACAGAUGGGCUGCGGAAGAUACUAUAGAGCUAGGAGGCGGGAGAGGCAAGCGGUACUCGAUGGGUAGGGGUAAAAUCCGUUGAUCCAUUGAAGACCACCAGUGGCGAAGGCGGCUUGCCAGAACGCGCUCGACGGUGAGGGAUGAAAGCUGGGGGAGCAAACCGG